RNAcentral lists this ribosomal RNA (496 nucleotides) under uncultured bacterium. RNAcentral's name for it is "partial 16S ribosomal RNA". It matches the Rfam family "Bacterial small subunit ribosomal RNA", at positions 30 to 523 of the family's 1533-position model. The record is from RNAcentral.
AUUGAACGCUGGCGGAAUGCUUUACACAUGCAAGUCGAACGGUAGAGGGGGCAACCCCUCGAGAGUGGCGAACGGGUGAGUAAUAUAUCGGAACGUGCCCAGUCGUGGGGGAUAACGUAGCGAAAGUUACGCUAAUACCGCAUACGAUCUAAGGAUGAAAGCGGGGGAUCGCAAGACCUCGCGCGAUUGGAGCGGCCGAUAUCAGAUUAGGUAGUUGGUGGGGUAAAAGCUCACCAAGGCGACGAUCUGUAGCUGGUCUGAGAGGACGACCAGCCACACUGGGACUGAGACACGGCCCAGACUCCUACGGGAGGCAGCAGUGGGGAAUUUUGGACAAUGGGCGCAAGCCUGAUCCAGCCAUGCCGCGUGCGGGAAGAAGGCCUUCGGGUUGUAAACCGCUUUUGUCAGGGAAGAAACGGCUCCUACUAAUACUGGGGGCUAAUGACGGUACCUGAAGAAUAAGCACCGGCUAACUACGUGCCAGCAGCCGCAGUAA